Molecule: microRNA precursor, 90 nt
Filed under: Canis lupus familiaris (dog)
Lineage: Eukaryota; Metazoa; Chordata; Mammalia; Carnivora; Canidae
Description: mir-8799 microRNA precursor family
Rfam family: mir-8799 microRNA precursor family
Source: Rfam by way of RNAcentral
UGGAGGAGCGCCGGAUCCUGGGCUGUGUACCCGGUGCCCUGUGCUCCCGGCCUGGGCUGCUGGAAUCGCGCUCCCGCCCCGCAGCCCCCU